GAUGAACGCUGACGGCGUGCCUAAUACAUGCAAGUCGAGCGAACGGACGAGAAGCUUGCUUCUCUGAUGUUAGCGGCGGACGGGUGAGUAACACGUGGAUAACCUACCUAUAAGACUGGGAUAACUUCGGGAAACCGGAGCUAAUACCGGAUAAUAUUUUGAGCCGCAUGGUUCAAAAGUGAAAGACGGUCUUGCUGUCACUUAUAGAUGGAUCCGCGCUGCAUUAGCUAGUUGGUAAGGUAACGGCUUACCAAGGCAACGAUGCAUAGCCGACCUGAGAGGGUGAUCGGCCACACUGGAACUGAGACACGGUCCAGACUCCUACGGGAGGCAGCAGUAGGGAAUCUUCCGCAAUGGGCGAAAGCCUGACGGAGCAACGCCGCGUGAGUGAUGAAGGUCUUCGGAUCGUAAAACUCUGUUAUUAGGGAAGAACAUAUGUGUAAGUAACUGUGCACAUCUUGACGGUACCUAAUCAGAAAGCCACGGCUAACUACGUG
RNAcentral lists this ribosomal RNA (497 nucleotides) under uncultured bacterium. Its description in RNAcentral is "partial 16S ribosomal RNA". It matches the Rfam family "Bacterial small subunit ribosomal RNA", at positions 28 to 507 of the family's 1533-position model. The record is from RNAcentral.